Molecule: ribosomal RNA, 499 nt
Filed under: uncultured bacterium
Lineage: Bacteria
Description: partial 16S ribosomal RNA
Rfam family: Bacterial small subunit ribosomal RNA
Source: RNAcentral
GACGAACGCUGGCGGCGUGCCUAAUACAUGCAAGUCGAGCGAAACCUUCCUGGUGCUUGCCCUAGAAACACUUAGCGGCGAACGGGUGAGCCACACGUAAAGAACCCUCCCCAUAGACUGGGACAAUUACUGGAAAUGAUAGCUAAUCACGGAUAACAGUAUUUCUCGCAGGCGAGCUAUUUAAAAGCUGGUUAUGCUAACAAUAUGCGAUGGCUUUGCGGUGCCUUAGCUAGUUGGUGGGGUAAAGGCCCACCAAGGCGACGAUGCAUAGCCGCCCUGAAGGGGUGGUCGGCCACCCUGGCACUGAGACACGGCCCAGACUCCUACGGGGGGCAGCAGUAGGGAAUCUUCCGCGAUGGGCCAAAGCCUGACGGAGCAACGCCGCGUGAGUGAAGAAGGAUUUCGGUUCGUAAAGCUCUGUUGUUAGGGAAGAAUGAAUGUGUAGUAACUCUACAUGUAAGUGACGGUACCUAGACAGAAAGCCACGGCUAACUACGUG